AAAUUGAAGAGUUUGAUCAUGGCUCAGAUUGAACGCUGGCGGCAGGCCUAACACAUGCAAGUCGAACGGUAACAGGAAACAGCUUGCUGUUUCGCUGACGAGUGGCGGACGGGUGAGUAAUGUCUGGGAAGCUGCCUGAUGGAGGGGGAUAACUACUGGAAACGGUAGCUAAUACCGCAUAAUGUCGCAAGACCAAAGAGGGGGACCUUCGGGCCUCUUGCCAUCGGAUGUGCCCAGAUGGGAUUAGCUAGUAGGUGGGGUAACGGCUCACCUAGGCGACGAUCCCUAGCUGGUCUGAGAGGAUGACCAGCCACACUGGAACUGAGACACGGUCCAGACUCCUACGGGAGGCAGCAGUGGGGAAUAUUGCACAAUGGGCGCAAGCCUGAUGCAGCCAUGCCGCGUGUAUGAAGAAGGCCUUCGGGUUGUAAAGUACUUUCAGCGGGGAGGAAGGGAGUAAAGUUAAUACCUUUGCUCAUUGACGUUACCCGCAGAAGAAGCACCGGCUAACUCCGUGCCAGCAGCCGCGGUAAUACGGAGGGUGCAAGCGUUAAUCGGAAUUACUGGGCGUAAAGCGCACGCAGGCGGUUUGUUAAGUCAGAUGUGAAAUCCCCGGGCUCAACCUGGGAACUGCAUCUGAUACUGGCAAGCUUGAGUCUCGUAGAGGGGGGUAGAAUUCCAGGUGUAGCGGUGAAAUGCGUAGAGAUCUGGAGGAAUACCGGUGGCGAAGGCGGCCCCCUGGACGAAGACUGACGCUCAGGUGCGAAAGCGUGGGGAGCAAACAGGAUUAGAUACCCUGGUAGUCCACGCCGUAAACGAUGUCGACUUGGAGGUUGUGCCCUUGAGGCGUGGCUUCCGGAGCUAACGCGUUAAGUCGACCGCCUGGGGAGUACGGCCGCAAGGUUAAAACUCAAAUGAAUUGACGGGGGCCCGCACAAGCGGUGGAGCAUGUGGUUUAAUUCGAUGCAACGCGAAGAACCUUACCUGGUCUUGACAUUCACAGAACUUUCCAGAGAUGGAUUGGUGCCUUCGGGAACUGUGAGACAGGUGCUGCAUGGCUGUCGUCAGCUCGUGUUGUGAAAUGUUGGGUUAAGUCCCGCAACGAGCGCAACCCUUAUCCUUUGUUGCCAGCGGUCCGGCCGGGAACUCAAAGGAGACUGCCAGUGAUAAACUGGAGGAAGGUGGGGAUGACGUCAAGUCAUCAUGGCCCUUACGACCAGGGCUACACACGUGCUACAAUGGCGCAUACAAAGAGAAGCGACCUCGCGAGAGCAAGCGGACCUCAUAAAGUGCGUCGUAGUCCGGAUUGGAGUCUGCAACUCGACUCCAUGAAGUCGGAAUCGCUAGUAAUCGUGGAUCAGAAUGCCACGGUGAAUACGUUCCCGGGCCUUGUACACACCGCCCGUCACACCAUGGGAGUGGGUUGCAAAAGAAGUAGGUAGCUUAACCUUCGGGAGGGCGCUUACCACUUUGUGAUUCAUGACUGGGGUGAAGUCGUAACAAGGUAACCGUAGGGGAACCUGCGGUUGGAUCACCUCCUUA
RNAcentral lists this ribosomal RNA (1542 nucleotides) under Escherichia coli. RNAcentral describes it as "bacterial SSU rRNA". It matches the Rfam family "Bacterial small subunit ribosomal RNA". Lineage: Bacteria; Pseudomonadati; Pseudomonadota; Gammaproteobacteria; Enterobacterales; Enterobacteriaceae. The record is from RNAcentral. RNAcentral also lists the same sequence under 1 other name.